GGCUGGUCCGAUGGUAGUGGGUUAUCCGAAUUUAUUAACAUUAGUGUCAGUAAAGUUGGUAUACAACCUCCACUGCUAAAUUUGACUGGCUUUAA
RNAcentral lists this Y RNA (95 nucleotides) under Castor canadensis (American beaver). RNAcentral describes it as "Y RNA (ENSCCNG00000005932.1)". It matches the Rfam family "Y RNA". From Rfam's summary of the family: Y RNAs are components of the Ro ribonucleoprotein particle (Ro RNP), in association with Ro60 and La proteins. The record is from Rfam by way of RNAcentral. Lineage: Eukaryota; Metazoa; Chordata; Mammalia; Rodentia; Castoridae.